RNAcentral lists this long non-coding RNA (1419 nucleotides) under Betta splendens (Siamese fighting fish). RNAcentral's name for it is "lncRNA (ENSBSLG00000002758.1)". Lineage: Eukaryota; Metazoa; Chordata; Actinopteri; Anabantiformes; Osphronemidae. The record is from RNAcentral.
AGAAAGCCUGAGAAACCCUGAGAGACCCCACAAACACGGGAGAACGUGGGCUGCCUCCGUGAAUUGAACCGAGAACCUUCUUGCUGUGAGGCGACGGUGCUACCCACUACAACACCAUGCCGCCCUCCUCUGUAAAUGUCCUAUCUAAAUUGAUAUUUAUACAUCUCUUAGAUCAUUGAGUGCUAUCUUCACCACACUGCAGCGAGACUUAAUUUGGUACCAUGUACAUUCUCAACCAUUACACUGCCAGUGUGAUCCUUUUUGAGGGGAGAGAAGCAGCAAGAAGGCACAGCCUGUCAAGGUACGUUGAUGCAGACCAAAGUAAGGCCUAUCUUGUGGAUCCUGCAAAAAGUGCCAAAGAACUGGUAGAGUCGGAGCAAGCAGCGAAAAGACUGCGUAACUAUUUCAACAUAAGAAGGGCAUGCCACAGCAAAACUGACUGGGUGGAUAAAAAAUGGAAGUAGGCCAUUAUGCAUCACCCAGGUCAGAAAGAUAGCAGUAGCUGUGGGGUCAUUGUGAUUAUGAUGGCCAGGUUAGUGAUGGAGGCCUUCCCAAAUAUGCCAAGUAUGGACUUCAAAACGACAAGAAAACAAAUGGCACAAGAACGCACAAACAUAGCUUGUGAGAUAUUACACGCUUCUGUGUUCAACACAGACAGUAACUGUGCUAUGUGCUCAACCACAAAGCCACCAGGAUCAGGACCAGCCUUUACAGACUGGGCAAAGUACUGUUUUUGUUUUCAGCAACAGAGGCUUGUUAUGAUUGUGUUUUCUGUAGUGUUUAAAUAUUACAACAUGCAAGAAUUGGAACAGAGGGGGCAAUAACUGUGAUAAAACAAACAUAGAAAUAGUAAUGCGUUUGAUGAGAACAAAUAACGAUUUCAUUCUAAUGCUAUACAAUGGUCAUUCAUGUGCCCUUUUACAGAUACAGUGUGAUGGCUGUUGCCGGUGGUAUCACGCACAGUGCCUCAAACUAGAUAAAGACACCCUUAAAAAAGCAGCAAGUGAAGACUGGAAUUGCUGUCUUUGUACAUAAUUCAUUAGCCAUGAAAAACUAACAGGAUGUAUCCUAUCUGUCUUACCGCAUUUCUCAUUUUUGCAUAAAGUUGUAUUUGUGUUCCACACAAAUGUUGCACUGAACUAUGCACCAAAGUCAAGUUCUUAAUCAUCAAAGUUGACUUUUUACAGUAUGACAUAGUACUUUCAAUUACUGCUAAAAGGUAAACUAUACAGUAAAAGUACACAGGUCUUUGUGUGGUGAUAGUACACCUCUAGCAGAAUAAGGAGAAAGUGGUCUGGACCUGGAACUAUGCACCAAAGUCAAGUUAUUAAUCAUCAAAAUUGACUAUAAUGCCAAUACGCUACUACAAUAGGACAUGGUAGUUUUGAAUACUAAUAAAUCCUAAACUAUAGAGUAACA